UAAGGGUUACAUUUUGGUUGGCCAUUUGCCCCCCUUCCAAAAGGAAAACAAAGCACAGCAUCUGGAAGCUGGUAGCUACAGGAAACAUCUGCAGAGCUGAUAUUUUCAAUAAAUGCUUAUAAGGUUGCGAGGGUUAGCAAGAAGAGGAUGAGGGCAAGUCGGGAAAGGAUAUUAUUUAUAAGGAAAAAAAACUCAACCGUAAUAAGAGCCAGGAGGAUGACUGAGAGAAUACUUUCUACAGAAACCCAUAAAGAUCCCAGGAUGCACAUCUAUAGCUACACUGCAGUGCUUAUUCCAGAAAUCUUCAUCUUGACUGAAUUUUUUAAUGCAUCCUGAUGUAUUUAUCACCUCACCAGCCGAGCACAAGUCAACAGAUUGUGACUGAAGAACAGCAUUGGCUGGCUUUAAAAUACCAAGAAUAUGGACUGGGAACUUUCCAAGAACAAAGAAGCUCUGUCUCUUCAGCUGAGAAAAAAGACAGGAUGCUUCUGUAUACAAGUCUAUGGAAGCAAUAUUAUCCUCCAAGACUUCUGACAGUAUAUCAAGAAUAAGAUCGUGAUUAUCAACAACACAUUUGGUCAAUUCAAAAUGGCUUGUCCAGCGUAUUUCUAGCAAUGUCUUUAGUGAAGGGCCAUUGUACUUUUGAAUAAUGUAGUGCUGAUGAAAGAAUGCAUACAGAGAACUAUAAAGAUUAAAAAAAAAAUCUUUGCACGUGGUUCACUUUGAAUUGCAUGCACUGCUACUAAGUGCAGCUGUAACAAUGAAUGUACAGUGUGUGCCUUCCUGGUUUUCUUUGCAGCAAAGCCUGCACACCUCCAUUAACCCCACUCAUCACCACUGGCUGAUGAUGAUGUCAGCAUUAAAACCUGCUUCAGAGAGGUGUUGAAGUGUUUGAGAUGUAAUGUAAUCUGCAUCCCACUGAUGCAAUUCAAUUCAAUAAUGUGAGGCACAGGCUCUUAUUAUCAGUGCUACUAGUAGUAGUGUGAGGCACAGGCUCUUUAUUUUGUUGAAUAAGAAACCAAUCCAUUGUGAUGCAGCAGAACUACGGUAAGGAGGCCCAGAAGUAAAUAAAACUAACUUAAUGUACACAAAUAAUAAUUAAAUGAAAUGAAUGGAUGGCAAAAAAAAUCUUUAUUUACUAACCUUAUUAUAACCUUAUU
This is a long non-coding RNA of Acipenser ruthenus (sterlet), 1160 nucleotides long. RefSeq lists it as uncharacterized. The record is from RefSeq and is a predicted model, not a curated record. NCBI's taxonomy places the organism in Eukaryota, Metazoa, Chordata, Actinopteri, Acipenseriformes, Acipenseridae. The transcript has 5 exons.